RNAcentral lists this ribosomal RNA (604 nucleotides) under Salmonella enterica subsp. enterica serovar Kentucky. RNAcentral describes it as "bacterial SSU rRNA". It matches the Rfam family "Bacterial small subunit ribosomal RNA", at positions 1 to 596 of the family's 1533-position model. Lineage: Bacteria; Pseudomonadati; Pseudomonadota; Gammaproteobacteria; Enterobacterales; Enterobacteriaceae. The record is from RNAcentral.
AAAUUGAAGAGUUUGAUCAUGGCUCAGAUUGAACGCUGGCGGCAGGCCUAACACAUGCAAGUCGAACGGUAGCACAGAGAGCUUGCUCUCGGGUGACGAGUGGCGGACGGGUGAGUAAUGUCUGGGAAACUGCCCGAUGGAGGGGGAUAACUACUGGAAACGGUAGCUAAUACCGCAUAACGUCGCAAGACCAAAGUGGGGGACCUUCGGGCCUCACACCAUCGGAUGUGCCCAGAUGGGAUUAGCUAGUAGGUGGGGUAACGGCUCACCUAGGCGACGAUCCCUAGCUGGUCUGAGAGGAUGACCAGCCACACUGGAACUGAGACACGGUCCAGACUCCUACGGGAGGCAGCAGUGGGGAAUAUUGCACAAUGGGCGCAAGCCUGAUGCAGCCAUGCCGCGUGUAUGAAGAAGGCCUUCGGGUUGUAAAGUACUUUCAGCGAGGAGGAAGGCGUUGUGGUUAAUAACCACAGCGAUUGACGUUACUCGCAGAAGAAGCACCGGCUAACUCCGUGCCAGCAGCCGCGGUAAUACGGAGGGUGCAAGCGUUAAUCGGAAUUACUGGGCGUAAAGCGCACGCAGGCGGUUUGUUAAGUCAGAUGUG